This 500-nucleotide ribosomal RNA is filed under the name uncultured bacterium. RNAcentral's name for it is "partial 16S ribosomal RNA". It matches the Rfam family "Bacterial small subunit ribosomal RNA", at positions 30 to 523 of the family's 1533-position model. The record is from RNAcentral.
AUUGAACGCUGGCGGAAUGCUUUACACAUGCAAGUCGAACGGCAGCACGGACUUCGGUCUGGUGGCGAGUGGCGAACGGGUGAGUAACAUAUCGGAACGUAUCCAAUAAUGGGGGAUAACGAGUCGAAAGAUUCGCUAAUACCGCAUACGCCCUACGGGGGAAAGCUGGGGACCUUCGGGCCUGGCGUUAAUGGAGCGGCCGAUAUCUGAUUAGCUAGUUGGUGAGGUAAAGGCUCACCAAGGCGACGAUCAGUAGCUGGUCUGAGAGGACGGCCAGCCACACUGGAACUGUGGCACGGGCCAGACUCCUACGGGAGGCAGCAGUGGGGAAUUUUGGACAAUGGGCGCAAGCCUGAUCCAGCCAUUCCGCGUGAGUGAAGAAGGCCUUCGGGUUGUAAAGCUCUUUCGCAAGGGAAGAAAACUUAGCCACUAACAUUGGUUGAGGUUGACGGUACCUUGAUAAGAAGCACCGGCUAACUACGUGCCAGCAGCCGCCGUAA